GACGACGGCUGGCGGCGUGCCUGACACAUGCAAGUCGGACGGUUCUUGUAUCUUCAAGCUUGCUUGCAGGUGCAAGGAUAGUGGCGGACGGGUGAGUAACGCGUGAACAUCUACCCAUUGGAGGGGGACAACCCGUCGAAAGGCGGGCUAAUACCGCGUAAGCCGCGAGGUGAGAGGCUGCCUAUUGGUGGCCGCCGAUGGAUGGGUUCGCGUCCUAUCAGCUGGUUGGUAAGGUAACGGCUUACCAAGGCUAUGAUGUUUAGGGGUCCUGAGAGGGUGGUCCCCCACACUGGUACUGAGACACGGACCAGACUCCUACGGGAGGCAGCAGUGAGGAAUAUUGGUCAAUGGGCGCAAGCCUGAACCAGCCAUCCCGCGUGCAGGAAGACGGCCCUAUGGGUUGUAAACUGCUUUUCCAGGGGGAGAAUAAUCCUGUCGUGACAGGACUUGACGGUACUCUGGGAAUAAGCAUCGGCUAACUCCGUG
Molecule: ribosomal RNA, 486 nt
Filed under: uncultured bacterium
Lineage: Bacteria
Description: bacterial SSU rRNA
Rfam family: Bacterial small subunit ribosomal RNA
Source: RNAcentral